Molecule: ribosomal RNA, 254 nt
Filed under: uncultured bacterium
Lineage: Bacteria
Description: partial 16S ribosomal RNA
Rfam family: Bacterial small subunit ribosomal RNA
Source: RNAcentral
GACGUAGGGCGCGAGCGUUGUCCGGAUUUAUUGGGCGUAAAGAGCUCGUAGGCGGUUUGUCGCGUCGGCCGUGAAAUCUCCACGCUUAACGUGGAGCGUGCGGGCGAUACGGGCGGACUGGAGUUCGGCAGGGGAGACUGGAAUUCCUGAUGUAGCGGUGAAAUGCGCAGAUAUCAGGAGGAACACCGGUGGCGAAGGCGGGUCUCUGGGCCGAUGACUGACGCUGAGGAGCGAAAGCGUGGGGAGCGAACAGG